This 253-nucleotide ribosomal RNA is filed under the name uncultured bacterium. RNAcentral describes it as "partial 16S ribosomal RNA". It matches the Rfam family "Bacterial small subunit ribosomal RNA", at positions 524 to 776 of the family's 1533-position model. The record is from RNAcentral.
GACGAACCGUGCGAACGUUGUUCGGAAUCACUGGGCUUAAAGGGCGCGUAGGCGGGCCCGCAAGUCAGGGGUGAAAUCCCACGGCUCAACCGUGGAAGUGCCUUUGAUACUGCGGGUCUGGAGGGAGGUAGGGGCGUGCGGAACUUCCGGUGGAGCGGUGAAAUGCGUAGAUAUCGGAAGGAACACCGGUGGCGAAAGCGGCGCGCUGGACCUCUACUGACGCUGAGGCGCGAAAGCCAGGGGAGCAAACGGG